Molecule: ribosomal RNA, 579 nt
Filed under: uncultured bacterium
Lineage: Bacteria
Description: bacterial SSU rRNA
Rfam family: Bacterial small subunit ribosomal RNA
Source: RNAcentral
ACGGGUGAGUAAUGUCUGGGGAUCUGCCCGAUAGAGGGGGAUAACCACUGGAAACGGUGGCUAAUACCGCAUAACGUCGCAAGACCAAAGAGGGGGACCUUCGGGCCUCUCACUAUCGGAUGAACCCAGAUGGGAUUAGCUAGUAGGCGGGGUAACGGCCCACCUAGGCGACGAUCCCUAGCUGGUCUGAGAGGAUGACCAGCCACACUGGAACUGAGACACGGUCCAGACUCCUACGGGAGGCAGCAGUGGGGAAUAUUGCACAAUGGGCGCAAGCCUGAUGCAGCCAUGCCGCGUGUAUGAAGAAGGCCUUCGGGUUGUAAAGUACUUUCAGCGGGGGGGAAGGCGAUGUGGUUAAUAACCGCGUCGAUUGACGUUACCCGCAGAAGAAGCACCGGCUAACUCCGUGCCAGCAGCCGCGGUAAUACGGAGGGUGCAAGCGUUAAUCGGAAUUACUGGGCGUAAAGCGCACGCAGGCGGUCUGUUAAGUCAGAUGUGAAAUCCCCGGGCUUAACCUGGGAACUGCAUUUGAAACUGGCAGGCUCGAGUCUCGUAGAGGGGGGUAGAAUUCCAGGUGUA